GAGGGUAUAGCUCAGUGGUAGAGCUUGUGCUUAGCACGCACGAGGUCCUGGGUUCAAUCCCCAGUACCUUUG
This 72-nucleotide transfer RNA is filed under the name Camelus bactrianus (Bactrian camel). It matches the Rfam family "tRNA". Rfam says of the family: Transfer RNA (tRNA) molecules are approximately 80 nucleotides in length. The record is from Rfam by way of RNAcentral. RNAcentral also lists the same sequence under 2 other names. Lineage: Eukaryota; Metazoa; Chordata; Mammalia; Artiodactyla; Camelidae.